GACGAACGCUGGCGGCGUGCUUAACACAUGCAAGUCGAACGGAAAGGCCCUGCUUUUGUGGGGUGCUCGAGUGGCGCACGGGUGAGUCACACGUGAGUACCCUGCCCUUGACUUUGGGAUAACUUCGGGAAACUGGGGCUAAUCCCGGAUAGGAGCUCCUUCUGCUUGGUGUGGGUUGGAAAGUUUCGGCGGUUGGGGAUGGACUGGCGGCUUAUCUGCUUGUUGGUGGGUUAGUGGCUUACCAAGGCUUGGACGGGUAGCCGGCCUGAGAGGGUGACCGGCAACAUUGGGACUGGGAUAGGGCCCAGACUCCUAGGGGAGGAAGAAGGGGGGAAUAUGGACAAAGGGGGGGAAGCCGGAGGCAGCAACGCGGCUGGCGGGAGGAGGGCCUUCGGGUUGUAAACCGCUUCCGCCUGGGACGAAGCGUGAGUGACGGUAAUGGGUAAAGAAGCACCGGCUAACUACGUG
This 468-nucleotide ribosomal RNA is filed under the name uncultured bacterium. RNAcentral's name for it is "partial 16S ribosomal RNA". It matches the Rfam family "Bacterial small subunit ribosomal RNA", at positions 28 to 507 of the family's 1533-position model. The record is from RNAcentral.